UAGAGUUUGAUCCUGGCUCAGGAUGAACGCUGGCGGCGUGCCUAAUACAUGCAAGUCGAGCGGUAAGGCCCCUUCNGGGGUACACGAGCGGCGGACGGCUGAGUAACGCNUAGGAACNUACCCCNAAGUGAGGGAUAAGCNCNNNNAAUGGUGUCUAAUACCGGAUGUGGCCAGAGGCUAAGNGACCGAGCAUAAGGAAUGGCAUGAAGAAAUUACUUGAGAAUGCAAUCAAGUUUGACUACGCUACGAGCGGAUGUGGAAGAACAAAUUGGGAUAUGGAGACGGGAGAGAGCAACCCACAAGAUACAGAAAAAAUGAGAGAAAGUCUGGGUACGUGAGAGAGUUGAUGAAAAGACCGGCAUAGAACAGUACAAGUGAACGAUAAGAGAAAUGGAGGUGAGAGGCGGGAAUUAGCUACACCAAGGCAAGGUCAUCGGAUGUGGGUAUGAAGGUGGUGAAAGAAGAUAGUAAUAUAAAGAAGAAAACGGAGGGUGUAGGGAAAGGGAUGGGGCGGGGGGGGUGGACGGGCAGGUGGUGAGGAAACGAAAAACUGGGAAGGAGGAGAGGGGGAGGGGGGUUGAUUUUCGCAUUAAGUAAAGAAGAAAAAUACGAGGAAGGGAAGGAUGCGGGACAGGAGGCAGGCGCGACAGCGGAGAAGUGAGUAGGGACAGUACCAAUAAAAAAUUAAAGUAUCAACGAAGAACAUAGGUGAGCAGCGGAGGAGUAGGACUGUGAUGGUUUUGGGUUCGGAGGUAUUUUGUG
Molecule: ribosomal RNA, 762 nt
Filed under: uncultured low G+C Gram-positive bacterium
Lineage: Bacteria; Bacillati; Bacillota
Description: partial 16S ribosomal RNA
Source: RNAcentral